AGUCACAUCAGAAACUUUCUGAGCAUCUGAAAACAUCAGUGUGAUUCUGCUUUCAUCCAGACCAUCAAAGAUGAACACAACUUUACACUCCUCAUAAAUCUUUGGGUCCAGAUCUUGAAGUUCAGGAUGAAAGUCCAGCAGAAGUCUGUGAAGACUGUACUGAU
This is a long non-coding RNA of Megalobrama amblycephala (Wuchang bream), 164 nucleotides long. RefSeq lists it as uncharacterized. Lineage: Eukaryota; Metazoa; Chordata; Actinopteri; Cypriniformes; Xenocyprididae. The record is from RefSeq and is a predicted model, not a curated record. The transcript has 3 exons.